Molecule: long non-coding RNA, 216 nt
Filed under: Setaria italica (foxtail millet)
Lineage: Eukaryota; Viridiplantae; Streptophyta; Magnoliopsida; Poales; Poaceae
Description: long non-coding RNA (SITA_LNC005032)
Source: RNAcentral
UGAUCGGUGUGGUCGCCGGUGCAGAUGCGGACGAUGAGGCCGUGAUGGGGAUCGCCAUUGGGAUCUCCGAUGAAGCUCCUUCUUCUGCGGAUGGAGCAACGGCCGUCGCCACUACCGCCGGAGGUGCUGCUUCUGGAACGUCGCGCGCUGGAGAGCUGCCGGAAGGAGCCGCCAUUGGAGGAGAAGGGGAAAAGUAACAGGAGGAUGGCGCUAGAA